AUCACGAUUAAAAUACUUGGUUGCUAAAGCAACGAUGGUACACAUUACAGUUGACACAAAACAACAAGACUGUCCUUAACAUAAGUACGUACUAAAUUACUAAUUCAAGAUAGAUAUAUAAUUUGAUUUGGAAGUGCAUGGAGAAAUGAAUCGUAGAGUAUUCAUGCACACGUACGUCUUCAAGGCAAUCCACCCCCAAGCCCACCGCCAGCACCAGCUCCUCCACCGAAACCUCCCCCAGCUCCUCCUCCAAGUCCUCCUCCACCACCACCACCGAAUCCUCCUCCGCCACCUCCUCCAG
RNAcentral lists this long non-coding RNA (301 nucleotides) under Malus domestica (apple). RNAcentral describes it as "long non-coding RNA (MDOM_LNC003278)". Lineage: Eukaryota; Viridiplantae; Streptophyta; Magnoliopsida; Rosales; Rosaceae. The record is from RNAcentral.